Molecule: ribosomal RNA, 406 nt
Filed under: uncultured bacterium
Lineage: Bacteria
Description: partial 16S ribosomal RNA
Rfam family: Bacterial small subunit ribosomal RNA
Source: RNAcentral
AUUGAACGCUGGCGGCAUGCUUUACACAUGCAAGUCGGACGAGUGGCGAACGGGUGAGUAACGCAUCGGAACGUACCGAGUCAUGGGGGAUAACUGUCCGAAAGGACAGCUAAAACCGCAUAUUAUUCGAGCGGCCGAUGUCUGAUUAGCUGGUUGGCGGGGUAAAGGCCCACCAGGGCGACGUUCAGUAGCGGGUCUGAGAGGAUGAUCCGCCACACGGGGACUGAGACACGGCCCAGACUCCUACGGGGGGCGGCAGGGGGAAAUUUUGGAAAAUGGGCGAAGGCCUGAUCCGGCCCUGCCGCGUGUCUGAGGAGGGCCUUCGGGUUGUAAAGUACUUUUGUCAGGGAAGCGGUACCUGAAGAGUAAGCAACGGCUAACUACGUGCCAGCAGCCGCGGUAAUUC